ACCCGGCCAUCUGGGCGAGCGCCCAUGCCCCGAUGAGUUAGGAGGGCCGGCGGCGGCCGCUGCAAAACCUGGGGCUCGAGCCCGGGCGGAGGGGCCGUCGGGCAGAUCUUGGUGGUAGUAGCAAAUAUUCAUGAGAACUUGAAGGCCGAAGAGGAGAAAGGUUCCAUGUGAACGGCACUGCACAUGGGUAAGCCGAUCCUUAAGACGGGUAACCCCGGCAGAUAGCGCGAUCACGGCAUCCCCCGAAAGGGAAUCGGGUUUAAGAUUUCCCCCGAGCCGGGAUGUGGCGGUUGACGGCGACGUUAGGAAGUCCGGAGACGCCGGCGGGGCCCUCGGGAAGAGGUUAUCUUUUCUGCUUAACGGCCUGCACAAGCCCUUGGAAUCCGGUUCAGCCGGAGGUAGGGUCCAUGUGGUCGGAAGAGCACCGGCACGUCGCGCGGUGUCCGGUGGCCCCGCGGCCCAUGAAAAUCCGGAGGACCGAGUCCGUCCACGCCGUCGUAACUCAUAACGCAUCAGGUUCUCCAAGGUAUUGAAACAGCCUCUGGCCAAUGGAACAUGUAGGCAGGGAAGUCGGCAAAACGGAUCCGUAACUUCGGAAAAGGAUUGGCAUCUGAGGACUGGGCUCGGGGUCCGGCCUCGAACCCGUCGGCUGUUGGCGGAUUGCUCGAGCUGCUCACGCCCGGCGAGAGCGGGUCGCCGCGUGCCGGCCGGGGGACGGACCGGAAUCCCCUUCGGGGGCUUUCCCCGAGCAUGAACAGUACUAGAAACUGGUACGGACAAGGGGAAUCCGACCUGUUUUAAAAAAUUAAACAAAUUGAGAUGGUCCUCGCGGAUGCUGACGCAAUGUGAUUUCUGCCCAGUGCUCUGAAUGUCAAGUGAAAGAAUUCAACAAGCGCGGGUAACGGCGGGAUAACUAUGACUCUCUUAAGGUAGCCCAAAUGCCUCGUCAUCUAAUUAGUGACCGCAGGAAGAUUAAGAGAUUCCCCUGUCCCUGUCUACUAUCCAGCGAAAACCACAGCCAAGGAAACGGCUUGGCGGAAUAGCGGGGAAAAGAAACCCUGUUGAGCUUGACUCUAGUCCGACUUUGGUGAAAAUACUUGAGAGGUGAGAUAAGUGGAGCCUUUACGGGGCAAGUGAAAUACCACUCUUUUAACGUUAUUUUACUUAUUCCGUGGUCGGAAGCGGGGCAAGCCCCUCCUUUUGGCUUCAAGGCCCGGUCUCACCGGGCCGAUCCGCGGAAAGACAUUUGUCAGUGGGGAGUUUGGCUGGGGCGGCACAUCUGUUAAAGAUAACGCAGGUGUCCUAAGAUGAGCUCAACGAGAACGAAAUCUCGUGUGGAACAAGGGUAAAAGCUCGUUUGAAUUCUGAUUUCCAGUACGAAUACGAACCGUGAAAGCGUGGCCUAUCGAUCCUUUAGAUCUUCGAGUUUUGAAGCUGGGUUCGAAAGUUACCGCAGGGAUAACUGCUUGUGGCACCAAGCGUUAAUAGCGACGAUUGCUUUUGAUCUUCCGAUGUCGGCUCUUCCUAAUCAUUGUGAAGCAGAUUCACCAAGUGUUGGAUUGUUCACCCCAAAAUAGGGAACGUGAAGUGGGUUUUAGACCGUCGUGAGACCAGGUUAGUUUUACCCUCUGAUGAAGUGUCGCCGAUAGUAAUUCAACCUAGUACGAGAGGCCGUUGAUUCACACAAUUGGUCAUCGCGCUUGGUGAAAAGCCAGUGGCGCGAAGCUUACCGUGUGCCGGAUUAUGCUGAAACGCCCUAAAAUCAGAACAAAAGCUAGCAAGCGACGCCUGCGCCUGCCGCUCGCCCCGCCCACUUAGGGGCGCUUGCGCCCCCCAAGGGCCCGGCCAUUGGCUAAGCCGGUCCGGCCGAUGUGCUGUGGCCGGCCGCCUCGAAGCUCCCUUCCCAAACGGGCGGUGGCUGAAUCCUUUGCAGGACGACUUAAAUACGCGACGGGGCAUUGUAAGUGGCAGAGUGGCCUGGCUGCCACGAUCCACUGAGAUCCAGCCCCACGU
Molecule: ribosomal RNA, 2013 nt
Filed under: Avena sativa (oats)
Lineage: Eukaryota; Viridiplantae; Streptophyta; Magnoliopsida; Poales; Poaceae
Description: eukaryotic LSU rRNA
Rfam family: Eukaryotic large subunit ribosomal RNA
Source: RNAcentral